This 824-nucleotide long non-coding RNA is filed under the name Carica papaya (papaya). RNAcentral describes it as "long non-coding RNA (CPAP_LNC013357)". The record is from RNAcentral. Lineage: Eukaryota; Viridiplantae; Streptophyta; Magnoliopsida; Brassicales; Caricaceae.
UUUAUCGAUACAUUUGGUUCAAUUUCCAUUCCAACUAAGUUUCUAAACAAAACUUUAUAUUAGUCUUACUAUGUAGAAUAUAAAUAUGAUUUUUAUAUUUUAAUCACCUCCACACUUAUGGAACUCAAGGUACAAGUGAAGGGGGGCUUAAAUAUAAAAAUCGUGUUAUAACUCUAUAUAUCAAGACUAAAAUAUAAAUUGUGUAGGAAUUACCUAGAAAUGUAAUGAAAAUUGAUCUAAACAGAAUCUUAGAGUUCAAUAUUAGUUAGAAAGAACAAAUAGAAGUAACUAUAUGAAUUAUUAUGCUAGAGGAUAGGUUGGAAUGUUGCUUUGGAUGACAGGUUGAGUGGUUUAUGGUUUACUGCACAAUCAUUCUUGCAAUUACCUUUUUCAUUUUUCUUCACUAAUUGCUCCUUCGGAAUGCUUGGUUGUGCCUUUUGAAAUCUUCUGAAAAUUUAUAAGCGGAUGUCUUUCUCUUGUACAGUUUAAGAGUUGUUUGCUUGAUGUUUAAGGUAUAAAUGCAAGAUGAGUAACAAUCGUUUGUUUAAGGUAUAAAUGCAAGAUGAGGAUGGCAGUAAAGCCUGUCGGGUAAUAAUUCAGUAUUAAUCUAGUAAGACACAGGGAUUGAUAGCAAGUGAUAUAAGAUGGGAUCGUUGAAUAAAAUGAGGGGAGUUUAGGAUUUGGUAAAUAAAAGAAUAGGGGGUGCAAUGCGGAAAUUUAAGAUUUAAGAUAGAAACACAAGAGUACAAUAGAAAUUAGGGAUUUAAGUGAAGAAAUAACAAGGGUAGAGAGAGACAGCAAAAGAACAAAUACGAGGAAAGAUG